CAGAGGGUGCGAACGUUGCUCGGAAUUACUGGGCGUAAAGCGCAUGUAGGCGGGUCGGCAAGUCAGAUGUGAAAUCCCCGGGCUCAACCCGGGAACUGCAUCUGAAACUGCCGGUCUUGAGUACUGGAGAGGGUGGCGGAAUUCCUGGUGUAGAGGUGAAAUUCGUAGAUAUCAGGAGGAACACCGGUGGCGAAGGCGGCCACCUGGACAGUAACUGACGCUGAGAUGCGAAAGCGUGGGGAGCAAACAGGAUUAGAUACCUGGUAGUCCACGCCGUAAACGAUGGGUGCUAGGUGUCUCGGGUAUUGACCCUGAGGUGCCGUAGCUAACGCGUUAAGCACCCGCCUGGGAAGUACGGUCGCAAGACUA
Molecule: ribosomal RNA, 369 nt
Filed under: uncultured organism
Description: bacterial SSU rRNA
Rfam family: Bacterial small subunit ribosomal RNA
Source: RNAcentral